UUGGUGUGUGCGAGUUUGUGGCCAAGAAGUUAGUGGAGGACAACUCGAUAGGGGAUCUGAAGAAACAGGAGGAGCAGUUUGAGCAGCUGGACUUUUCCAACCAGUCCAGACUGUACAGACAUAGAAUACUAUUCCUAGAGGACGAACAGGUCAAACUAGACGACACAGCCACUCUACUAUACCCUCUCACCAACUUUAUAGCGACACACCACAAAUGUGUGAGCGUGGACCACGAGCGAUUCGGCUACCUCGUGAUCACGAAAACCGACGAGAAUGGGAAGAAGAAACGACAGACAUUCAACGACUCGGGUCGCCUGGAGUACAGCGAGAUCAACCCCAAGUGUAAGGACUGUAUUCUCCAGUACGGUCAGAAGUCCAGGGGUACUCUGGCUGACUUGGAAAAAGAGGGCGCGUUCGAAUACUUAAAGAAAAAGUUCGAAACAAGCAAGGCAAAAGCGAAACCAGCCAAGAAGUAAACAGACAUUUACAUGCUGACUUUUUGAAAUAAGACAAAAUAUGAUUUCGAAAAUGCUUUUGAUUAAAAUUAACUAAUCA
Molecule: long non-coding RNA, 555 nt
Organism: Symsagittifera roscoffensis
Lineage: Eukaryota; Metazoa; Xenacoelomorpha; Acoela; Convolutidae
Exons: 2
Source: RefSeq, a predicted model, not a curated record